CAACAUUUGUUGGAUGAGAAUUGCUUUACAAAACUUCCAUGGCCAAACCAGUCACCAGAUAUGAACCCUAUUGAACACCUCUGGAGCAUAAGGACUGAAC
Long non-coding RNA from Octopus sinensis (East Asian common octopus), 100 nucleotides. RefSeq lists it as uncharacterized. Lineage: Eukaryota; Metazoa; Mollusca; Cephalopoda; Octopoda; Octopodidae. The transcript has 3 exons. The record is from RefSeq and is a predicted model, not a curated record.